UUGGAGAAAAAGAUAUAGUCAUUCUUC
This 27-nucleotide non-coding RNA is filed under the name Homo sapiens (human). The record is from RNAcentral. Lineage: Eukaryota; Metazoa; Chordata; Mammalia; Primates; Hominidae.